RNAcentral lists this ribosomal RNA (429 nucleotides) under uncultured bacterium. Its description in RNAcentral is "bacterial SSU rRNA". It matches the Rfam family "Bacterial small subunit ribosomal RNA", at positions 33 to 507 of the family's 1533-position model. The record is from RNAcentral.
CACGCUGGCGGCAUGCCUAACACAUGCAAGUCGAACGAGACCUUCGGGUCUAGUGGCGCACGGGUGCGUAACACGUGGGAAUUUGCCUCGGGGUAUGGAAUAACUCAGGGAAACUUGAGCUAAUACCAUAUAAUGUCUUCGGACCAAAGAUUUAUCGCCCUGAGAUAAGCCCGCGUAGGAUUAGCUAGUUGGUGGGGUAAAGGCUCACCAAGGCGACGAUCCUUAGCUGGUCUGAGAGGAUGAUCAGCCACACUGGGACUGAGACACGGCCCAGACUCCUACGGGAGGCAGCAGUGGGGAAUAUUGGACAAUGGGCGAAAGCCUGAUCCAGCAAUGCCGCGUGAGUGAUGAAGGCCUUCGGGUUGUAAAGCUCUUUUACUCGGGACGAUAAUGACGGUACCGAGAGAAUAAGCCCCGGCUAACUCCGUG